GAUAAUGAGGGCCAUCUGGCUGCAACAUCUGUCAUCCUACUAAUCACCAAGGUUGAUUCCACUGAUCUGGCUAGCUAGGCUGGUGUUCCCUUCCUUCCUCAUUGUUUCAUGUACAUUCUUCUGUAAGCCACAUGAUUUGUCAAAGAGGAAGACCUCCCUGGAUAGAGGAGAAUGGUUCUUUGAUCAAGAGUAUAAGGAGUAUCUGUGCUCCCUCUGCUAGAACCUCCAGACAAGCUCUCAAAACUCAAUAACAAUUUUGAAGUGCUUAACAGAGCACCUGUCCCUUAAAAAUUGGCAAAUGCAGAAACCGGAUUCUAAAUCUAGGCUGUCUGACACU
Molecule: small nuclear RNA, 337 nt
Filed under: Canis lupus dingo (dingo)
Lineage: Eukaryota; Metazoa; Chordata; Mammalia; Carnivora; Canidae
Description: 7SK RNA (ENSCAFG00020000194.1)
Rfam family: 7SK RNA
About the family: 7SK was discovered as an abundant small nuclear RNA in the mid-70s but a possible function has only recently been suggested.
Source: Rfam by way of RNAcentral